CGGGGCGUGGCGCAGCCUGGUAGCGCACCUGCUUUGGGAGCAGGGGUCGCCGGUUCGAAUCCGGCCGCCCCGA
This 73-nucleotide transfer RNA is filed under the name Conexibacter sp. W3-3-2. RNAcentral describes it as "tRNA-Pro". It matches the Rfam family "tRNA". Rfam says of the family: Transfer RNA (tRNA) molecules are approximately 80 nucleotides in length. Their secondary structure includes four short double-helical elements and three loops (D, anti-codon, and T loops). Further hydrogen bonds mediate the characteristic L-shaped molecular structure. tRNAs have two regions of fundamental functional importance: the anti-codon, which is responsible for specific mRNA codon recognition, and the 3' end, to which the tRNAs corresponding amino acid is attached (by aminoacyl-tRNA synthetases). tRNAs cope with the degeneracy of the genetic code in two manners: having more than one tRNA (with a specific anti-codon) for a particular amino acid; and 'wobble' base-pairing, i.e. permitting non-standard base-pairing at the 3rd anti-codon position. Lineage: Bacteria; Bacillati; Actinomycetota; Thermoleophilia; Solirubrobacterales; Conexibacteraceae. The record is from RNAcentral.